GACGAACGCUGGCGGCGUGCUUAACACAUGCAAGUCGAACGGAAAGACCCUGCUUUUGUGGGUUGCUCGAGUGGCGAACGGGUGAGUAACACGUGAGUAACCUGCCCUUGACUGUGGGAUAACUUCAGGAAACUGGGGCGAAUACCGGAUAGGAGCUCCUGCUGCAUGUGGUUGGUUGGAAAGUGUCGGCGGUUGGGUAUGGACUCGCGGCUUAUCAGCUUGUUGGUGGGGUAGUGGCUUACCAAGGCUUUGACGGGUAGCCGGCCUGAGAGGGUGACCGGCCACAUUGGGACUGAGAUACGGCCCAGACUCCUACGGGAGGCAGCAGUGGGGAAUAUUGCACAAUGGGCGGAAGCCUGAUGCAGAAACGCCGCGUGCGGGAUGACGGCCUUCGGGUUAUAAACCGCUUUCGCCUGUGACGAAGCGUGAGUGACGGUAAUGGGUAAAGAAGCACCGGCUAACUACGUG
RNAcentral lists this ribosomal RNA (468 nucleotides) under uncultured bacterium. RNAcentral's name for it is "partial 16S ribosomal RNA". It matches the Rfam family "Bacterial small subunit ribosomal RNA", at positions 28 to 507 of the family's 1533-position model. The record is from RNAcentral.